GCCUGGCUGGCUCAGAUGGUGGAGCAUGUGACUCUUGAUCUCGGGGUUGUGAGUUCGAGCCCCACGUUGGGUG
RNAcentral lists this transfer RNA (73 nucleotides) under Felis catus (domestic cat). It matches the Rfam family "tRNA". From Rfam's summary of the family: Transfer RNA (tRNA) molecules are approximately 80 nucleotides in length. Their secondary structure includes four short double-helical elements and three loops (D, anti-codon, and T loops). Lineage: Eukaryota; Metazoa; Chordata; Mammalia; Carnivora; Felidae. RNAcentral also lists the same sequence under 4 other names. The record is from Rfam by way of RNAcentral.